AGGUCACUGACAUUAGAUACCCGGGUAGUCCAGGGUGUAAACGCUGCAGACUUGGUGUUGGAAGCCCUUUGGGGGCAUUCAGUGCCGGAGAGAAGUUGUUAAGUCUGCUACUUGGGGGAGUACGUCCGCAAGGAUGAAACUUAAAGGAAUUGACGGGGGAGCACCGCAACGGGAGGAGCGUGCGGUUUAAUUGGAUUCAACACCGUAAAACUCACCAGGGAAGACUGUUACAUGAAGGCCGAGAUGAAGACUCUGCUAGAUUUUCAG
Molecule: ribosomal RNA, 267 nt
Filed under: uncultured archaeon
Lineage: Archaea
Description: partial 16S ribosomal RNA
Rfam family: Archaeal small subunit ribosomal RNA
Source: RNAcentral